GACUUGUUGCUGGAAGGUGUUUUAUCAUUGGGGAGCCCAGGAGGAAUAAUAUGUUCAUUUGGCUAUUGUAUGGGUUUUAAAACAAAUUUGAUGAGUCAUAGAUGCAUUCAUCCACAUAGACAGCAGCGUGCAUAUUUCAGAGUGUGUGACAGUAUGGGUUUUGGGAAGCAUCUAAUUUUCCCACUUUGUAGAUGUGGUUGUCUCUGAAGUAAUUAACCUGAAACAAUGAAUAUUGCAGUAUUUAAUACCUGUUUGUCAAACCCACAGCUUCAGUCUGUGAGGCUGGAUACAUUAGCAUGCAGAGCUACGAUUAGCACACCUGGUGUUUUUUUCUCUGUGUGUGUGUGUGUGUGUGUGUGUGUGUGUGUCCAUGCAUGAGUGGUGCGUCGGCAGUGCUAUGAAUGGGCAGAGGGGUGUGCUCUCAGAGACACCAUAGCAGCAGUGAGAUGAGGAGUACCAUUUACUCCACUGCACGUCUAUUGAGAGAAGCAAGAAAAGGAGUCUUUACAGUUGCACAACCACAGUACUCCAAAAGACAUCAUCAAAUCCUAAACCUAAUCAGCACUGAACCUUUCCUGAAAAAAUCUUCAAGUCAGCCAUGGAACAGAAGGCAAAUGAGUGCCCCACCACCACCACCUCUCCUCAGAAACACAUGAAGAACAGGUCCAAAUCCACAGAGGAGGUGCAACAGACGAGGAAGGCCUUUUCAUCACAAAAAUCCCUCCCGGGCCGACCAGAGCUGGAGAAGGUGAAGGUGAGCUGUGCACACAUAUUCCCGUAUUUCAAUAUGUAGGACAAUGAUGAUGUUGUGCAUUUCUUUCCACGUCACUGUUUAAAACACAAGAUUUCAAACAGGAAGUGCAACUUGAGUUGGUGCUGUAUUUGUCCAUGUGUUUUUCAGGAGUGUCCUGACGGCUCUGACACGCCGUCAUCCUCCACGGAGGAGCUGAAGUGAUAAAUGGAAGGACAUUACCAUCAAGUUACAAGAUCAUCAUCAACAUAAAUAAAAUGUACAUAUGUACACAGGGAAACAUACACAAUAUUAUUCAGAAUAAUAAUAAAUAAUGAAACACACAAAAAAUGGAUUUAUGAUUGGUUGAAGAAAACUCUUUCAAAAAUGGUAAAUUGAACACACGCAGACUCACGCACACUGAAACAAUCACUUUUAAACACCUGUGAUGAUGCUGUCUCAUUGUACCGUGAGUGUCGUAUAGGCCUACAUACCACACUGAAUGUGUAUUGACAAUAAAGUAAUGCUGUUGAGUGUAGCUGUCUUUACUCUGCUCUCAUUCCCAUCAAACAUCUGGCAAUUUAUGCUUUUUAUAGGUUC
Molecule: long non-coding RNA, 1330 nt
Filed under: Cottoperca gobio
Lineage: Eukaryota; Metazoa; Chordata; Actinopteri; Perciformes; Bovichtidae
Description: lncRNA (ENSCGOG00000007782.1)
Source: RNAcentral